CUACGGGGGGCUCCAGUGAGGAAUAUUGCACAAUGGGGGGAACCCUGAUGCAGCAAUGCCGCGUGGAGGAUGACGCAUUUCGGUGUGUAAACUCCUUUUAUAUGUCAAGAAAAUGACGGUAGCAUAUGAAUAAGCACCGGCUAACUCCGUGCCAGCAGCCGCGGUAAUACGGAGGGUGCAAGCGUUACUCGGAAUCACUGGGCGUAAAGGACGCGUAGGCGGGUUGGAAAGUCAGGUGUGAAAUCCUACAGCUUAACUGUAGAACUGCACUUGAAACUUCUAAUCUAGAGUAUGGGAGGGGGAGAUGGAACUAGUGGUGUAGGGGUAAAAUCCGUAGAUAUCACUAGGAAUACCUAAAGCGAAGGCGAUCUCCUGGAACAUUACUGACGCUAAGGCGUGAAAGCGUGGGGAGCGAACAGGAUUAGAUACCCUAGUAGUC
RNAcentral lists this ribosomal RNA (439 nucleotides) under uncultured bacterium. RNAcentral describes it as "partial 16S ribosomal RNA". It matches the Rfam family "Bacterial small subunit ribosomal RNA", at positions 339 to 795 of the family's 1533-position model. The record is from RNAcentral.